This 483-nucleotide ribosomal RNA is filed under the name uncultured bacterium. RNAcentral's name for it is "partial 16S ribosomal RNA". It matches the Rfam family "Bacterial small subunit ribosomal RNA", at positions 30 to 506 of the family's 1533-position model. The record is from RNAcentral.
AUUGAACGCUGGCGGCAGGCCUAACACAUGCAAGUCGAGCGGAUGAAGGGAGCUUGCUCCUGGAUUCAGCGGCGGACGGGUGAGUAAUGCCUAGGAAUCUGCCUGGUAGUGGGGGAUAACGUCCGGAAACGGGCGCUAAUACCGCAUACGUCCUGAGGGAGAAAGUGGGGGAUCUUCGGACCUCACGCUAUCAGAUGAGCCUAGGUCGGAUUAGCUAGUUGGUGGGGUAAAGGCCUACCAAGGCGACGAUCCGUAACUGGUCUGAGAGGAUGAUCAGUCACACUGGAACUGAGACACGGUCCCGACUCCUACGGGAGGCAGCAGUGGGGAAUAUUGGACAAUGGGCGAAGGCCUGAUCCAGCCAUGCCGCGUGUGUGAAGAAGGUCUUCGGAUUGUAAAGCACUUUAAGUUGGGAGGAAGGGCAGUAAGUUAAUACCUUGCUGUUUUGACGUGACCAACAGAAUAAGCACCGGCUAACUUCGU